AUGGCGACGUUUGAGGAGCGUGUGUUGAAGGAGUUGGCCGCCCUCAAGGAGAUUGGUGAACAGGUCGCGCGCAUCGACGGGAUCAGUGCACGGCUUGAUGGCCUCGACAUGAAGUUCUCCGAGCAGGUGCAUCGCCUGGACCAAGUGCAAGUGAAGGUUGAUCUCUCGGUUACUUCCAUCGGGGAGAUCCACCAGGAACAAGUGCAGGUGGCUCGCGUGAUCAAGGAGUCCCAUAGUACUCAAGAUGCAGAUCUGGACCGGCUCGCGCAGCCCGGCUGUUUUGCAGCGUCUCCGACCGCCGCGCAGGCAGCGUCCACCACCCAAGUACCCCCUCCGCUCCGUCGACCCUUCGAUCCUGGACGACCACCGCAGUCCCCGUGCCCCCUGAUGAGCAGAGCUCCAAGCGGCCAUGGAUGCCAAAGAUGGAGUUUCCCCGAUUUGAUGGCGAAGGGGUGCGCAUGUGGUUGGACAACUGCGAGGUCUACUUCCAGCUGUACCAAAUUCCCGAAGGAUUCAAGCUUAUGUCUGCGUCUCUGCAUUUACAAGGUAAUGUUGCCCGUUGGUAUCAAGCAUGAAAUCAGGUCUGUGGUUGAGAUCCAGUUACCUGCUACUGUGGGACUGGCAGCAGAAUACGCCUUGGUGCAAGAAGCACUUUUAGAACGUCAGAAAGUGCAGACAACAAAAGUAAACAGUUUAGCAGUCCCAAAUACACUGCAAAUCGCCAAGACCAGCCUGUUCGACCCCAGUUCGCUGCAGGAGACUUAUGGCGUGCAAAACAACUUAAGGAAUUCAGGAGAGCAAAUGGACUCUGCUACAGUUGUGGAGAGAAAUAAAAUCAGGGAAAUUGAAGGACAGUUAUCGGAUGAGAUUCUGAACGCCAUUUCUGCUGAGGAGGCCGUAGAAGAAGUAGCAGCUUACUUAUCUGUCAAUGCUAUAGCUGGUUCUGAAAAUCCUAAAACAAUCAGACUUCGGGCUCUAGUUGAAAACAAAGUUAUGUUACUACUAGUGGAUUCAGGGAGUUCUCAUACAUUCAUUGACAGGCAAUUAGUAGACAAACUGAAACACAAAGGAACUACUCUCACCAAACCACUGCAAGUGAAAGUGGCCAAUGGAGAUCAACUUCAAUGUGAUACUGAAAUGGCAGGCUUACAAUGGUGGAUCAGUGGACACACUUUCACUUCUGACAUGAAAGUUAUUGAUCUUGGUGGGUAUGAUGCAAUCUUAGGUAUGGAUUGGCUUGCCAAGUGGGGAGCCAUGACUUGUCACUGGGAAGAGAAGUGGCUACAGUUUGAUAAACAAGGUCAACAGAUUAAACUACAAGGGGUGAUAGAGAAAGAACAAACUGGACUCAAGGCCAUUUCUAUGGAACAAAUGCUCAAAUGGCACAAAGGUAAUGACAUAUGGGCUACUGCUGUACUAUCUCCAACUCUGCACACUGAAAAUCAGGAGAUGCCAGAGUGCAUUACCAAAGUCCUAGCAGAUUUUACUGAUGUGUUUGAAGAUCCUCAACAGUUAAAACCUCACAGAUUGAGUUUGCCACAUGGGAAGAUUACACGGCGCUCCAGAAGAGGUUUUCACAGGCAGCAGCUUGGGGACAAGCAGCUCCUCAAGGGGAGGGCACAGCUCCUCAAGGGGAGGGCACUGUCAUCGCCCCUAAUCUGGCAGGCGAUGCAAAGCAUGGCAAUGAACCACCAAAGGAGGCGACAAGGUUUACCCAAGGCAAGGACACGACACGCCGCCAGCGUGCCCCGCCCUCAUCUGGUCAAGGGCGCGGCGGAGCAGGACUCCGGCACGUUCGGUGACCGGCUGGACUUCUGCAAGGCGAACCUGUUCACGGGGCGGGGCGCGGCGCGGAGGGCGGGGAGGAGUGCGAGGAGCCGUCGGUGGCGCAGGAGAGGAUCAUGCACCGGAUCAACUCCAAGAUGGCGCACAAGUCGUACCAGCUGGGGCAGCAGCUAUCGUUGCGGUGGACGACCGGCGUCGGGCCGCGGAUCGGGUGCGUGCGUGACUACCCGCCGGAGCUGCAGUUCCGGUUGCUGGAGGAUUCAGGCUUUGAAAUUGUGCCAAAAUUUGUACUGCAUCCUUAGUUUAGCGCAUCCCUCGCACCACGAGGAAAAUAUCAUGGAAUUGACAAGAGCAAGGCAGGAGAUAUGCUGGGAGCCAAAAUCAAUAGCGCCCAGACUGCAUGCAGAUAUAUAUAGCCUCAACAAGAUGAAUUGUGAGAUCGAGCUCCUUCAGUUUCAGCAUAAGCCCCCGCAUAAAUCAUCACCUUUGGAGCAGUGCUUAGUCCCAAACCAUUAA
This 2301-nucleotide ribosomal RNA is filed under the name Triticum aestivum (bread wheat). Its description in RNAcentral is "partial small subunit ribosomal RNA". Lineage: Eukaryota; Viridiplantae; Streptophyta; Magnoliopsida; Poales; Poaceae. The record is from RNAcentral.